AUGGCCGAAUGCUUCAAUAGGGUGCUCAAAGGUGCACGUGGAUUACCCGUGACGGCAAUAGUUCAAUACACAUUUGACAAGAUGAAUGCAUACUUUCUAAAGUACUCGAUGGAAACGGAUGCACAGAUAGUGGGUGAGAACUCGCGCAAGUACAAGUACAAGUUCCCACCCAAGGUUGAUGAAUGGUUGGUAUUUCAAUCACGGAAGGCGGACUCAGAAGAAGCUAUAUUAUAUGACAACGAAGAGUGGAAGUACGAAGUGAAAGAGCCAGGAGGAACCAUAAAUGAUGGCCGCCAACAUGGAGGUCGUGCUUUCAAGGUGUUGUUAACACAAUGUGAUUGCUCUUGCAGGAGACCAUUGUUGCUUCAUCUUCCAUGCUCACACUUGUAUACCGCUAGUCGCGUUAAGAAUGUGGACAUCAAUCACCCACGCACCGUGAGGGAGUCAGAGUUCUCAAUCAUGACGGUCAAGAAAACAUGGGCUCCCCGCUUUCACCCAUAUCUUGACCAAUCACAAUGACCGGAGUACCAUGGUGUUCAACUAUGGCCGGAUCCGGAGUUGAAGGUUGUUAAAUGGGGUAGACGUAAGACAAAGCGUCUUAGAGGCGACAUGGACGGAUGGGGCCAUGGUGGCCGCCGUGAAGCGGGCAACAACCAAUUCCAAGAGCCUCGUGAGAGCUCCCGUUGUGGGGAGUGCAAAGGUCAUGGCCACAACAAAAGAAAAUGUAUGAAACCAAGGAAAAGGUCCAAGAAAAAUGAUGCAAGCACAAGCCAACAAGGAGCUACAGAAGGAAGCCAACCAAGUGGUAGCCAACAAGUGCCAAGGCAACCAAGUGGUAGCUAA
RNAcentral lists this ribosomal RNA (843 nucleotides) under Triticum aestivum (bread wheat). RNAcentral describes it as "partial small subunit ribosomal RNA". The record is from RNAcentral. Lineage: Eukaryota; Viridiplantae; Streptophyta; Magnoliopsida; Poales; Poaceae.